This 343-nucleotide long non-coding RNA is filed under the name Oryza brachyantha (malo sina). RNAcentral's name for it is "long non-coding RNA (OBRA_LNC002965)". The record is from RNAcentral. Lineage: Eukaryota; Viridiplantae; Streptophyta; Magnoliopsida; Poales; Poaceae.
UGCCCCCAACAAAAAUAUGGUUCAUAAACCUCACAUUUUAACUUUUGUAAAAGCUUAUUAUAUCCCACUUUGUAGAAGCUUGUCUCAAGUUCUGAGGCGCGCCCCUGCUGCUGCCACAUCCAUCCAGGCAUACAACCUCCUUCAUUGUGCCUUAUGCAUGGGGGACGACUGGUGGACGGACGAUGCAGGCAUGACAGGAGGGCCAGCCUCAUGGUAUGCAACUAAAGCUUUGACAUCAAACGUGCCUCUUUUACUUCAACCUAAGGUGAAAGAUGUGGGAUAUGAAUUCCCAAUGCUUCCUAGGCCUACUAUAAGCUUGGAGAUCUCCGUACAUGUGGUUCAU